RNAcentral lists this ribosomal RNA (424 nucleotides) under Verrucomicrobiota bacterium. RNAcentral describes it as "Verrucomicrobia bacterium partial 16S ribosomal RNA". It matches the Rfam family "Bacterial small subunit ribosomal RNA", at positions 355 to 776 of the family's 1533-position model. The record is from RNAcentral. Lineage: Bacteria; Pseudomonadati; Verrucomicrobiota.
UGAGGAAUAUUGGUCAAUGGACGCAAGUCUGAACCAGCCAAGUAGCGUGCAGGAUGACGGCCCUAUGGGUUGUAAACUGCUUUUACAUGGUGAUAAAGUGCGGAAUGUGUUCCCUUUUGCAUGUACCAUAUGUAUAAGUACCGGCUAAUUCCGUGCCAGCAGCCGCGGUAAUACGGAAGGUUCGGGCGUUAUCCGGACUUAUUGGGUUUAAAGGGAGCGUACGCCGUUUGGUAAGAGUGUUGUGAAAUGUAGGAGCUCAACUUCUAGAUUGCCGCGCGAACUGUCAUACUUGAGUGCGGACAAAGUAGGCGGAAUUCAUGGUGUAGCGGUGAAAUGCUUAGAUAUCAUGAAGAAAUCCGAUUGCGAAGGGAGCUUACGGGGGCGCAACUGACGCUGAAGCUCGAAGGGGAGGGUAUCGAACAGG